ACUCCUACGGGAGGCAGCAGUAGGGAAUAUUGCACAAUGGAGGAAACUCUGAUGCAGCGACGCCGCGUGAGCGAUGAAGGCCUUCGGGUUGUAAAGCUCUGUGAUAGGGGAAGAUAAUGACGGUACCCUAUCAGAAAGGACCGGCUAACUUCGUGCCAGCAGCCGCGGUAAUACGAGGGGUCCAAGCGUUGUUCGGAAUUACUGGGCGUAAAGCGGGUGCAGGUGGCUAUGCAAGUCGGAUGUGAAAGCCCAGGGCUCAACCCUGGAUGUGCAUCCGAUACUGCGUGGCUUGAGUACUGGAGAGGGAAGUGGAAUUCCUGGUGUAGCGGUGAAAUGCGUAGAUAUCAGGAGGAACAUCGGUGGCGAAGGCGGCUUCCUGGCCAUGUACUGACACUCAGACCCGAAAGCGUGGGUAGCAAACAGGAUUAGAUACCCUGGUAGCGAGUA
RNAcentral lists this ribosomal RNA (447 nucleotides) under uncultured bacterium. RNAcentral's name for it is "bacterial SSU rRNA". It matches the Rfam family "Bacterial small subunit ribosomal RNA", at positions 335 to 797 of the family's 1533-position model. The record is from RNAcentral.